GGGGAUGUAUUUGGUUUUCGACAGUAUCCCAGAAGUAUAUAUAGCGAGUAGUGGAUGGCUGCUUCGGCCACUAUAAAAAAGCAGAACUAAAAAUAAACGCUGAUAAUAAUAGAGAAUUAGCAUACGCUGCCUAAGCUUAGGUAGCUCGUCUUACUAGGAAGGCCUACGGUCUUGGUUAAGGCGUCAAUUAGUAGGAUAACAAAGCUACUUUUGCUAUUGAAGUAGUAGGUAUUUUUAAUAGCUACUCUAAAAUUACGGUUGUUUGUUAAUGUGAUUUUAGGGGAAUACAAGAAUAACAAACUGCACUCGGAGAAGUAUAUAUGGAAAGAAUAUUGGACAGGAGUUCGACUCUCCUCAUCUCCACCA
RNAcentral lists this transfer-messenger RNA (366 nucleotides) under pig gut metagenome. It matches the Rfam family "transfer-messenger RNA". Rfam says of the family: Bacterial tmRNA, also known as 10Sa RNA or SsrA, is named for its dual tRNA and mRNA-like properties. Its role is to liberate the mRNA from a stalled ribosome. The record is from RNAcentral.